RNAcentral lists this ribosomal RNA (933 nucleotides) under uncultured fungus. RNAcentral describes it as "eukaryotic LSU rRNA". The stretch from base 296 to 933 matches the Rfam family "Eukaryotic large subunit ribosomal RNA", at positions 1 to 664 of the family's 3401-position model. The record is from RNAcentral. Lineage: Eukaryota; Fungi.
AUCGAUGAAGAACGCAGCGAAAUGCGAUAAGUAAUGUGAAUUGCAGAAUUCAGUGAAUCAUCGAAUCUUUGAACGCACAUUGCGCCCGCCAGUAUUCUGGCGGGCAUGCCUGUCCGAGCGUCAUUUCAACCCUCGCAGCCUAUCUGGGCAGCGGCGUUGGGGACCGGCCCGCCCCCCGGGGCGAGCCGUCCCCCAAAUUCAGUGGCGGUCUCGCUGCAGCCUCCCCUGCGUAGUAGCACACCUCGCACCGGAGCGCAGCGCGGCCACGCCGUAAAACCCCCGACCCCCACGAGUUUGACCUCGGAUCAGGUAGGAAUACCCGCUGAACUUAAGCAUAUCAAUAAGCGGAGGAAAAGAAACCAACAGGGAUUGCCCCAGUAACGGCGAGUGAAGCGGCAACAGCUCAAAUUUGAAAUCUGGCCCCCAGGGUCCGAGUUGUAAUUUGUAGAGGAUACUUUUGGCGCGGCGCCUUCCGAGUUCCCUGGAACGGGACGCCAUAGAGGGUGAGAGCCCCGUCUGGUUGGAUGCCUAGCCUCUGUAAAGUUCCUUCGACGAGUCGAGUAGUUUGGGAAUGCUGCUCUAAAUGGGAGGUAUAUGUCUUCUAAAGCUAAAUACCGGCCAGAGACCGAUAGCGCACAAGUAGAGUGAUCGAAAGAUGAAAAGCACUUUGAAAAGAGGGUUAAAUAGUACGUGAAAUUGUUGAAAGGGAAGCAUUUGUGACCAGACUUGGGCCCGGUUAAUCAUCCAGUGUUCUCACUGGUGCACUUUGCCGGCCCAGGCCAGCAUCAGUUCGCCCUGGGGGAUAAAGGUUUCGGGAACGUGGCUCCCUCGGGAGUGUUAUAGCCCGUUGCGUAAUACCCUGUGGCGGACUGAGGUUCGCGCUCCGCAAGGAUGCUGGCGUAAUGGUCAUCAGUGACCCGUCUUGAAACACGG